AAAUAAUCGGACAUCGCCUUUCGGAAGCGCUUUUUGUAUUGCUUAGGCGAAACCACAGUGGGGGAUACAUUUUUCGGCCCACCCAAAAUUCCUGAUGCUUUCACCCAUGUCUCGAGAUGCUUGUCCCAAGUAUACUGUCGCAUGAAGUCGAUGAUACCCAAAACAAGUUCAUGCUUCUUCUCGUCUACCCCCACCAACAACGAG
RNAcentral lists this unclassified non-coding RNA (204 nucleotides) under Hevea brasiliensis (rubber tree). The record is from RNAcentral. Lineage: Eukaryota; Viridiplantae; Streptophyta; Magnoliopsida; Malpighiales; Euphorbiaceae.